This 497-nucleotide ribosomal RNA is filed under the name uncultured bacterium. Its description in RNAcentral is "partial 16S ribosomal RNA". It matches the Rfam family "Bacterial small subunit ribosomal RNA", at positions 28 to 507 of the family's 1533-position model. The record is from RNAcentral.
GAUGAACGCUGGCGGCGUGCCUAAUACAUGCAAGUCGAGCGAACAGACGAGGAGCUUGCUCCUCUGACGUUAGCGGCGGACGGGUGAGUAACACGUGGAUAACCUACCUAUAAGACUGGGAUAACUUCGGGAAACCGGAGCUAAUACCGGAUAAUAUAUUGAACCGCAUGGUUCAAUAGUGAAAGACGGUUUUGCUGUCACUUAUAGAUGGAUCCGCGCCGCAUUAGCUAGUUGGUAAGGUAACGGCUUACCAAGGCAACGAUGCGUAGCCGACCUGAGAGGGUGAUCGGCCAAACUGGAACUGAGACACGGUCCAGACUCCUAAGGGAGGCAGCAGUAGGGAAUCUUCCGCAAUGGGCGAAAGCCUGACGGAGCAACGCCGCGUGAGUGAUGAAGGUCUUCGGAUCGUAAAACUCUGUUAUUAGGGAAGAACAAAUGUGUAAGUAACUAUGCGCGUCUUGACGGUACCUAAUCAGAAAGCCACGGCUAACUACGUG